Molecule: ribosomal RNA, 433 nt
Filed under: uncultured bacterium
Lineage: Bacteria
Description: partial 16S ribosomal RNA
Rfam family: Bacterial small subunit ribosomal RNA
Source: RNAcentral
AACGAACGCUGGCGGCAUGCCUAACACAUGCAAGUCGAACGAGACCUUCGGGUCUAGUUGCGCACGGGUGCGUAACGCGUGGGAACCUGCCCUUAGGUUCGGAAUAACUCCCCGAAAGGGGUGCUAAUACCGGAUAAUGUCUUCGGACCAAAGAUUUAUCGCCUUUGGAUGGGCCCGCGUUGGAUUAGCUAGUUGGUAGGGUAAAAGCCUACCAAGGCGACGAUCCAUAGCUGGUCUGAGAGGAUGAUCAGCCACACUGGGACUGAGACACGGCCCAGACUCCUACGGGAGGCAGCAGUGGGGAAUAUUGGAAAAUGGGCGAAAGCAUGAUCCAGCAAUGCCGCGUGAGUGAUGAAGGCCUUAGGGUUGUAAAGCUCUUUUACCCGGGAUGAUAAUGACAGUACCGGGAGAAUAAGCUCCGGCUAACUCCGUG